This 872-nucleotide ribosomal RNA is filed under the name uncultured marine group I thaumarchaeote. RNAcentral's name for it is "SSU rRNA". It matches the Rfam family "Archaeal small subunit ribosomal RNA", at positions 27 to 904 of the family's 1478-position model. The record is from RNAcentral. Lineage: Archaea; Thermoproteati; Nitrososphaerota.
CUGCUAUCGGAUUGAUACUAAGCCAUGCGAGUCUUUGUAGUAAUACAAGGCAGACGGCUCAGCAACACGUAGUCAACCUACCCUAUGGACAAGAAUAAUCUCGGGAAACUGGGCAUAAUUCUUGAUAGAUCAUAAUGCCUGGAAUGGUUUAUGGUUAAAAUGAUUCGUCGCCAUAGGAUGGGACUGCGGCCUAUCAGCUUGUUGGUGAGGUAAUGGCCCACCAAGGCGAUUACAGGUACGGGCUCUGAGAGGAGAAGCCCGGAGAUGGGUACUGAGACACGGACCCAGGCCCUAUGGGGCGCAGCAGGCGAGAAAACUUUGCAAUGUGCGAAAGCACGACAAGGUUAAUCCGAGUGGUUUCUGCUAAAGGAACCUUUUGUUAGUCCUAAAAACACUAACGAAUAAGGGGUGGGCAAGUUCUGGUGUCAGCCGCCGCGGUAAAACCAGCACCUCAAGUGGUCAGGAUGAUUAUUGGGCCUAAAGCAUCCGUAGCCUGCUUUGUAAGUUUUCGGUUAAAUCCAUGUGCUCAACGCAUGGGCUGCCGAAAAUACUGCAUAGCUAGGGAGUGGGAGAGGUAGACGGUACUCAGUAGGUAGGGGUAAAAUCCUUUGAUCUAUUGAUGACCACCUGUGGCGAAGGCGGUCUACCAGAACACGUUCGACGGUGAGGGAUGAAAGCUGGGGGAGCAAACCGGAUUAGAUACCCGGGUAGUCCCAGCUGUAAACGAUGCAGACUAGAUGAUGCAUUGGCAUAAUAGCCAUUGCAGUGUCUCAGGGAAGCCGUUAAGUCUGCCGCCUGGGAAGUACGUACGCAAGUAUGAAACUUAAAGGAAUUGGCGGGGGAGCACCACAAGGGGUGAAGCCUGCGGUUCA